GGUCCUUGAAGGCACCAUCUAACUUUCUCCCACGCUGCACAGAUAGACUACUAAACUGUAUUUUUUUCAAUUUUUCUUUCAUAUUUGGUCCCAAAUGUUCAUACUAUGUGGGAAUGCAGAAAGGUAACAAGCUGUUUUUGCGAUUUAUGAGGAAGCCGCAGUACCUGGAGAAACGCGUCACACCACGCAGGGAUGCCCCCCGACAGUGUGAGGCUGACAUGCUAACCACUACGACUCUUUGACAAGGUCACUGACACAAGAGGAUCAUGAGGGUGCGCCACUGCCGUCAUGACAGCAGGAUAGCAGAAGAACGCUCAGGCAUCUCUUUCAUAAAGUUAGAGACAUGAAG
Long non-coding RNA from Dunckerocampus dactyliophorus (ringed pipefish), 349 nucleotides. RefSeq lists it as uncharacterized. The transcript is spliced from 3 exons. The record is from RefSeq and is a predicted model, not a curated record. NCBI's taxonomy places the organism in Eukaryota, Metazoa, Chordata, Actinopteri, Syngnathiformes, Syngnathidae.